AUGAAGAGAAUACCGAGAUACAUUCGGGGAAGCACUGGAGUAGGACUAAGUAUAUGCAGGUCUCCAUCAACUACAGUAAGUGCCUUCUCUGAUGCAGAUUGGGCGGGAUGUCUAGAUGAUAGAAAGUCCACAGGGGGCUUUGCAAUGUUUCUUGGCUCCAACCUUGUGUCAUGGCAAGCAAAGAAACAAGCAACUGUCUCAAGAUCAAGUACUGAGGGAGAAUACAAGUCACUAGCAAAUGCUACUGCUGAGGCAAUGUGGGUGAAAACACUACUUGAUGAGUUGGGUGUCUAUAGACCACAUGUGUCACGCCUAUAUGGUGUGAUAAUCUAG
RNAcentral lists this ribosomal RNA (333 nucleotides) under Triticum aestivum (bread wheat). Its description in RNAcentral is "partial small subunit ribosomal RNA". Lineage: Eukaryota; Viridiplantae; Streptophyta; Magnoliopsida; Poales; Poaceae. The record is from RNAcentral.